AAACUUCACUCUGUGAUCCUCGAAUAUGUUUUUUGAAGAGCUCCAGAAGCACAAAGGUUGACAGUAAACCGGAGGAAGAAGAAAAGGGGAAGUUUGCGCGAAAAGGUGGAAGAGCUGAGAAGGUUGUUGAAACAGCGACUAACUGCUGCAAAUGCUGAGAUAUUUGAGUUGGUAGAAACAAACAGAUCG
Molecule: long non-coding RNA, 189 nt
Organism: Thalassophryne amazonica
Lineage: Eukaryota; Metazoa; Chordata; Actinopteri; Batrachoidiformes; Batrachoididae
Exons: 2
Source: RefSeq, a predicted model, not a curated record